Molecule: ribosomal RNA, 468 nt
Filed under: uncultured bacterium
Lineage: Bacteria
Description: partial 16S ribosomal RNA
Rfam family: Bacterial small subunit ribosomal RNA
Source: RNAcentral
GAUGAACGCUGGCGGCGUGCUUAACACAUGCAAGUCGAACGGACAGGCCCUGCUUUUGUUGGGUGCUCGAGUGGCGAACGGGUGAGUAACACGUGAGGAACCUGUCCUUGACUUUGGGAGAACUUCUGGAAACACGGGCUAUUACCGCAUAUGAGCUCCUGCUCCAUGUGGGUGGUUGGAAAGAUACGGUGGUUGGGGCUGGACUAGCGGCUUAUCAGCUUGUUUGUCUGGUAGUGACUGACCAAGCUUUCGACGGAUAGCCUGCCUGAGAGGGUGACCGGCCACAUUAGGACUGAGAUAGGGACCAGACUCCUACGGGAGGCAGCAGGGGGGAAUAUUGCACAAUGGGCGGGAGCGUGAUGCGGCAACGCCGCGUGCGGGAAGACGGCCUUCGGGUUGAAAACAGCUUUGGCCUGAGACGAAGCGUGAGUGACGGUAAUGGGUAAAGAAGCACCGGCUAACUACGUG